GAUUAAGUUAUUAAGGGCGCACGGUGGAUGCCUUGGCACUAGAAGCCGAUGAAGGACGUUACUAACGACGAUAUGCUUUGGGUAGCUGUAAGUAAGCGUUGAUCCAGAGAUUUCCGAAUGGGGGAACCCAGCAUGAGUUAUGUCAUGUUAUCGACAUGUGAAUUCAUAGCAUGUCAGAAGGCAGACCCGGAGAACUGAAACAUCUUAGUACCCGGAGGAAGAGAAAGAAAAAUCGAUUCCCUGAGUAGCGGCGAGCGAAACGGGAAGAGCCCAAACCAACAAGCUUGCUUGUUGGGGUUGUAGGACACUCUAUACGGAGUUACAAAAGAACAUGUUAGACGAAUCAUCUGGAAAGAUGAAUCAAAGAAGGUAAUAAUCCUGUAGUCGAAAACAUAUUCUCUCUUGAGUGGAUCCUGAGUACGACGGAGCACGUGAAAUUCCGUCGGAAUCUGGGAGGACCAUCUCCUAAGGCUAAAUACUCUCUAGUGACCGAUAGUGAACCAGUACCGUGAGGGAAAGGUGAAAAGUACCCCGGAAGGGGAGUGAAAGAGAACUUGAAACCGUGUGCUUACAAGUAGUCAGAGCCCGUUAAUGGGUGAUGGCGUGCCUUUUGUAGAAUGAACCGGCGAGUUACGAUCUGAUGCAAGGUUAAGCAGCAAAUGUGGAGCCGCAGCGAAAGCGAGUCUGAAUAGGGCGUUGAGUAUUUGGUCGUAGACCCGAAACCAGGUGAUCUACCCUUGGUCAGGUUGAAGUUCAGGUAACACUGAAUGGAGGACCGAACCGACUUACGUUGAAAAGUGAGCGGAUGAACUGAGGGUAGCGGAGAAAUUCCAAUCGAACUUGGAGAUAGCUGGUUCUCUCCGAAAUAGCUUUAGGGCUAGCCUCAAGUGAUGAUUAUUGGAGGUAGAGCACUGUUUGGACGAGGGGCCCCUCUCGGGUUACCGAAUUCAGACAAACUCCGAAUGCCAAUUAAUUUAACUUGGGAGUCAGAACAUGGGUGAUAAGGUCCGUGUUCGAAAGGGAAACAGCCCAGACCACCAGCUAAGGUCCCAAAAUAUAUGUUAAGUGGAAAAGGAUGUGGCGUUGCCCAGACAACUAGGAUGUUGGCUUAGAAGCAGCCAUCAUUUAAAGAGUGCGUAAUAGCUCACUAGUCGAGUGACACUGCGCCGAAAAUGUACCGGGGCUAAACAUAUUACCGAAGCUGUGGAUUGUCCUUUGGACAAUGGUAGGAGAGCGUUCUAAGGGCGUCGAAGCAUGAUCGCAAGGACAUGUGGAGCGCUUAGAAGUGAGAAUGCCGGUGUGAGUAGCGAAAGACGGGUGAGAAUCCCGUCCACCGAUUGACUAAGGUUUCCAGAGGAAGGCUCGUCCGCUCUGGGUUAGUCGGGUCCUAAGCUGAGGCCGACAGGCGUAGGCGAUGGAUAACAGGUUGAUAUUCCUGUACCACCUAGUAUCGUUUUAAUCGAUGGGGGGACGCAGUAGGAUAGGCGAAGCGUGCUGUUGGAGUGCACGUCCAAGCAGUAAGGCUGAGUGUUAGGCAAAUCCGGCACUCAUAAGGCUGAGCUGUGAUGGGGAGAGGAAAUUGUUUCCUCGAGUCGUUGAUUUCACACUGCCGAGAAAAGCCUCUAGAUAGAUAACAGGUGCCCGUACCGCAAACCGACACAGGUAGUCAAGAUGAGAAUUCUAAGGUGAGCGAGCGAACUCUCGUUAAGGAACUCGGCAAAAUGACCCCGUAACUUCGGGAGAAGGGGUGCUCUUUAGGGUUCACGCCCAGAAGAGCCGCAGUGAAUAGGCCCAAGCGACUGUUUAUCAAAAACACAGGUCUCUGCUAAACCGUAAGGUGAUGUAUAGGGGCUGACGCCUGCCCGGUGCUGGAAGGUUAAGAGGAGUGGUUAGCUUCUGCGAAGCUACGAAUCGAAGCCCCAGUAAACGGCGGCCGUAACUAUAACGGUCCUAAGGUAGCGAAAUUCCUUGUCGGGUAAGUUCCGACCCGCACGAAAGGCGUAACGAUUUGG
RNAcentral lists this ribosomal RNA (2012 nucleotides) under Citrobacter koseri. Its description in RNAcentral is "partial 23S ribosomal RNA". It matches the Rfam family "Bacterial large subunit ribosomal RNA", at positions 1 to 2012 of the family's 2925-position model. RNAcentral also lists the same sequence under 6 other names. The record is from RNAcentral. Lineage: Bacteria; Pseudomonadati; Pseudomonadota; Gammaproteobacteria; Enterobacterales; Enterobacteriaceae.